ACAAAGUUUACUCAGAGUGUUAAAGAUUGAAUUUGUGAUCUGCAUUCCAUUCAUGCGGGACAUCCUUUGCCUAAUGGAUGAAAGACUGACAUCACCUCAACUCCUCAGCUCCUGGUGAGACCUAUUCUACUCUACUUCUAGCAAUCAAAUGAAAUAUCCUGUAGCUUUCCUAAUCGAAGCUGUCUGCUCUGUCCUGGUGUUAGAAAUACGUGUUUCAAUAAGUGCUCCUGUGUGAUGCGCAGAUUCUUCAGCUUCAGGUGCAGAUCCUUCAACCUUCCGUUGUAGACUUAUGUACUCCCAUGGGACACUGCAGUGAGGUCCAGACCUUCAACAAAAUUCUUUGGUCUCCAGGGUGCAGACAGACUCUCCUGACUGUUCCUCAUCUGACUCUGUGGGUGACUAUUGUAAGUCAAUCUUGU
This 419-nucleotide long non-coding RNA is filed under the name Heterocephalus glaber (naked mole-rat). RNAcentral's name for it is "lncRNA (ENSHGLG00000041297.1)". The record is from RNAcentral. Lineage: Eukaryota; Metazoa; Chordata; Mammalia; Rodentia; Bathyergidae.